RNAcentral lists this ribosomal RNA (433 nucleotides) under uncultured bacterium. RNAcentral's name for it is "partial 16S ribosomal RNA". It matches the Rfam family "Bacterial small subunit ribosomal RNA", at positions 29 to 507 of the family's 1533-position model. The record is from RNAcentral.
AGCGAACGCUGGCGGCAGGCCUAACACAUGCAAGUCGAACGAACUCUUCGGAGUUAGUGGCGGACGGGUGAGUAACACGUGGGAACGUGCCUUUUGGUUCGGAAUAACUCAGGGAAACUUGUGCUAAUACCGAAUGUGCCCUUCGGGGGAAAGAUUUAUCGUCAUUAGAGCGGCCCGCGUCUGAUUAGCUAGUUGGUGAGGUAACGGCUCACCAAGGCGACGAUCAGUAGCUGGUCUGAGAGGAUGACCAGCCACACUGGGACUGAGACACGGCCCAGACUCCUACGGGAGGCAGCAGUGGGGAAUCUUGCGCAAUGGGCGAAAGCCUGACGCAGCCAUGCCGCGUGAAUGAUGAAGGUCUUAGGAUUGUAAAAUUCUUUCACCGGGGACGAUAAUGACGGUACCCGGAGAAGAAGCCCCGGCUAACUUCGUG